RNAcentral lists this ribosomal RNA (524 nucleotides) under Heza ephippium. RNAcentral's name for it is "partial 16S ribosomal RNA". It matches the Rfam family "Bacterial large subunit ribosomal RNA", at positions 1811 to 2607 of the family's 2925-position model. The record is from RNAcentral. Lineage: Eukaryota; Metazoa; Arthropoda; Insecta; Hemiptera; Reduviidae.
AAACAUGUCCUUUUGUUUAUAAAUAUAAGGUCUAACCUGCCCAAUGAUUUAAUUUAAUGGCCGCGGUAUAUUAACUGUGCUAAGGUAGCAUAAUCAUUUGUCUUUUAAUUAAAGGCUAGAAUGAAUGGUUGGACGAGAUACAUGCUUUCUUUAAUUUAAUUUAUGAAUUUAAUUUUUUAGUUAAAAAGCUAAAAUUUAUUUAAGGGACGAGAAGACCCUAUAGAUCUUUAUAUAUUUAAUUAUUGUAUAUUUUAGUAUAUUAAUUAUUUUAAUAUUUAUUUAUAUUUGGCUGGGGUGGUUGUAGAAUUUUUAUAACUUCUAUUUUUAUUAAACAUUAAUUUAUGUUUUAUUGAUCCAAUUUUAUUGAUUAAAAGAUUAAGUUACCUUAGGGAUAACAGCGUUAUUUUUUUGGAGAGUUCAUAUCGAUGAAAGAGUUUGCGACCUCGAUGUUGGAUUAAAAUAAGUUUUAGGUGCAGGAGCUUAAAAACUAGGUCUGUUCGACCUUUAAUUUUUUACAUGAUCUG